AUGAUGAAGGUUCUGAUUCUACUGCUGAAUACACUCGGCCUCCUCACUCAACAGUCGUUUGGACAAAUCAUCAUGACUCAGACUCCAGGAUCUCACUCGGUUUCUCCAGGACAAACUGUUACCAUCAACUGCAAAGCCAGUCAGAGCGUUGGCAGCUACCUCGCCUGGUACCAGCAGAAACCUGGAGAAGCUCCUAAACUUCUGAUCUAUUAUGCAACUACUCGUCAGUCUGGGAUUCCUGGACGUUUUAGUGGAAGUGGAUCUGGUACAGAAUUUACUCUUAAAAUCACUUCAGUUCAGGCUGAAGAUGCAGGAGAUUAUUACUGUCAGCAGGGUAACAGCGGGUACACACAGUGUUAUUUGCUGGUACAAAAACCUCCCUCAGCUGUAGAGGAAGUUCUCUGA
This is a non-coding RNA of Trichomycterus rosablanca, 405 nucleotides long. NCBI's taxonomy places the organism in Eukaryota, Metazoa, Chordata, Actinopteri, Siluriformes, Trichomycteridae. The record is from the annotation of a RefSeq genome assembly.